AGGACUAACGCUGGCGGCGUGCCUAACACAUGCAAGUCGAACGAAGUAGCAAUACUUAGUGGCAGACGGGUGAGUAACACGUAGUCAACCUGCCCUUCAAUGGGGGAUAACUAGCCGAAAGGUUAGCUAAUACCGCAUACGAUCUCUGAGUGGCAUCACUCGGCGAUGAAAGGAGUAAUCCGUUGAAGGAGGGGACUGCGUCCCAUUAGUUAGUUGGUGGGGUAACGGCCUACCAAGACUCCGAUGGGUAGCUGGCUUGAGAGAGCGACCAGCCACACUGGAACUGAGAAACGGUCCAGACUCCUACGGGAGGCAGCAGUGAGGAAUUUUCCGCAAUGGGCGAAAGCCUGACGGAGCGACGCCGCGUGUGGGAUGAAGGCCUUCGGGUCGUAAACCACUGUCGAAGGGGACGAUAAUGACGGUACCCUUGGAGGAAGCCCCGGCUAACUACGUGCCAGCAGCCGC
Molecule: ribosomal RNA, 465 nt
Filed under: uncultured bacterium
Lineage: Bacteria
Description: SSU rRNA
Rfam family: Bacterial small subunit ribosomal RNA
Source: RNAcentral